Molecule: small nucleolar RNA, 107 nt
Organism: Humulus lupulus (European hop)
Lineage: Eukaryota; Viridiplantae; Streptophyta; Magnoliopsida; Rosales; Cannabaceae
Source: RefSeq, a predicted model, not a curated record
AUAUCAUGAUGAUGGCACUUCCUUAAUAGCUCUUUGAAUCUCUCAAAUGCAUCAUACAGUGAUUCCCCUUCCAUCUGACAAAAAUUAUUAAUUUCACCUCUCAACUU